Molecule: non-coding RNA, 1078 nt
Organism: Anolis sagrei ordinatus
Lineage: Eukaryota; Metazoa; Chordata; Lepidosauria; Squamata; Anolidae
Source: RefSeq, a predicted model, not a curated record
UUAAUUUCCUUCUCCCUUGCUUUUAUCCUCACCUGGCAUGUUCAUUCUAAUCCUAGCUUUGACUCAGAAACGGGAUUACCACAAAGGAACAUGUGUGUGCUCAAGAAGCUGAAAUCUGUAGAUCAGUCAGGGAAUGUAAUAUUUGAUUGAAGACCCACAUCAGGUGCAGUGCCUUUUUAUAGCACGCAUUACAACAAAUAGCCCAAGAAUAACCCAAUCUGUCUGGAAGACACUGUGAAAUUCUAAUACUUCUAAUAAGCUGAGAAGACAGAACUGUAGGGAAAUGGGAACUUGACCUGUACCACAGAAUAGCAAAAUAAUGAUUUAAUGAAGGGCUGACCAGCCCCACCCCUUUUGGUACUCAUGCUGGAGAGUGGGCCCUGGUCAAAAAAAGAUUGGUAACCACUGCUAUAUAUGGAGAAAUCAUGACAUUUUGGAGGAAAAGGCAAUUAUUGCUCUCAUGUGGCUCCUAGAAGGCUACCAAAUGUAAAAAGCUUUAGCAUUCAGGAGGAACAUAACCCUGGCCCUCAUUGCAAAAGACCAUGCAGAUCCAGAAUAGGUUUCCACAGUCAUUUAUGGACCCAGUAUCAAGAAUCUUCCUUUGGAAGACAACCAUACUCGGCUACGAGUGAUCGCCUCUGUUGGUGAAACACUUAACAUGAUCCAUUCAGAUCCCUUGUUUAAGGAAUGUGAACUCAAGAUAAACAAUUAGUUUAUUAAACUACACAAAACAAGCAUUUGUUGCCCAAACAGAAAGUAUUCAUAAACAUACACUACAAAAAUGAAAUUGGUACAGUUAAAGGUUCACAUUGGUUAAGAAAAGUGUAUCAAAUGAUGUUUAGUUUUCAAUGUAAUAAGUGAGUUAUUAAAAAUAUACAAAUAGGCAAUUUUAUGUUGUUUUCUGUAUUUAGGAGCAGAGCUAUGCAAAAUAUUGUCAUUAUCAGUUCUCAGAACUCUGUCCACUGAAAGGCCAAAAUAAUAAAAAUAAAAUGGUGCCCAUUCUCAAAGUUACUUUCAUAGAUCUUUUUUGUUUCAAAUGAGAUGGUUAUUGCAAUAAACAAUUGUCAAAAUAUUUUAA